Myodes glareolus (Bank vole) is the source of this 792-nucleotide non-coding RNA. NCBI's taxonomy places the organism in Eukaryota, Metazoa, Chordata, Mammalia, Rodentia, Cricetidae. The record is from RefSeq and is a predicted model, not a curated record.
GUUUGGCUCGAGGCCCGACGGGACCUUUCAGCGAGGCUCCCCAGAGACAGUUUGGUAUCAGAGCCGCGGGAACCAAAACAGCAGACCAGCUCUUUAUGACCUUGGCCAAAUCGCCCUUGGUCCCGAGGGUUCUCUGGUGGUAGCUGAUCAAAUAAUGAAAAAAAUAUAAAGGAACCUUUAUUUAUGGCAAGGAAACUGGUUUCCAUCUUGAAGCAGUGCAACACCUUAAUGAUACAACCAAACAUUUUUAGUGAUUUUCAAGAGAUAGCACUGGUGAGAUCUGGAUAUGGUAUUAUGGAAGAGGAAGGGGUAACAUUAAAGUUACUGUACAAUUGUUGAUGUUUGGGAUGUUUGGAAAGUGCUAUAAAGGCCCUUCUGAGACCUAGAGACAGAGAAGGACGAAGGUCGAUGGCAAGGAAGGGCGAAAGGUUUCUCCGCAGUCUGCUUCCCCGAGACUAUUGGCUUCAGGCAGGGCAGGCUUCACAGUCUAAGAUGACACGGCCCUUCCAGGAAAUACACCGGCUAUUUUUGUUUUCCUCUGGCCUCAGCAUGAUGCUCGGAGCGAUGGCAAAACUUUCGGUAUCUGCAUGAAUUAUAACUCUUCGGCGAAGAUAAAAAGGCUGCUGCGAGAAACUGCCCCAGCGCUAUAAGGGCUGUCAGUCUGGAGGGCAUCUCAAAUGAGAUUAAUGAUGUCAGCACUAAUAUAAGAAGAUUUAGCAUAACCAAGAUUAUGGCUUCUGCAGAAACCUGCCAGCACUCAUUUAUUUUGAAUAAAUAUUAUUUUUAAUUAAA